RNA transcript from Solanum dulcamara, 2334 nucleotides. RefSeq lists it as uncharacterized. The record is from RefSeq and is a predicted model, not a curated record. The transcript is spliced from 9 exons. NCBI's taxonomy places the organism in Eukaryota, Viridiplantae, Streptophyta, Magnoliopsida, Solanales, Solanaceae.
ACAUUGAAAAGGGUUUUACAUCCUAAUCCGGAGGUCCCAUAGUGCUCUACAUGACCCUAAAUUACUCUCUGCACUCCCAACUACCAAGAGUUGUUCGCCAUAGCUCAAGCUUCUGCUUCGAUUCCAUUUUCUAGAAGCUUCUCAGCUUACAAAAUCGGAUUUUAUUGCUCUACAUCUCUCCAUUAGAGAAAUGAAAACGAAGGACAAUGGAAAUGUUAUUUGCAGCCUACUGGGUCUACCCAAGAAAAAACUUCAGGACUUGUGCAGGAAACGCGGUUUAUCUCCUUAUAAGACAAAGCCCAAUCUUGUGAGUUCUUUGGUCACUUACAUCAAGGGAGCAGAUGAGCUCUUAUUUAAAGAGAUGAAGGCAAAGGACAGUGGAAAUUCCAUAAGCAGGCUACCUAAGAAAGAGCUUCAAGAUUUGUGCAGGAAACACGGUUUAUCUCCUUAUAAGACAAAGCCUAAUCUUGUAAAUUCUUUGAUCACUUACGUCAAGGGAGCAGAGAGUUUUUCCUUUAAAGAGAUGAAGACAAAGGACAGUGGAGAUUCCAUUUACAGCCUACCCAAGAAAAAGCUUCAAGAAUUGUGCAAGAAGUGCGGUUUGUCUCCUUAUAAGACAAAACCCAAUCUCGUGAAUUCUCUGAUCAAUUUCUUCAAGAUAGCAGAUAUAGAAACUUCUGAAGGCAAUGAGUACAACAUUCUAAAUUCUUCUGGCGUAAGGAGCGCAACUGGAGAGAUAUUGUUUUCAAGAUUCGUCGCUCAGUGUGGUGAGAAGGGUUUCAAUCAAGGACUUCACAGUCCACAAACAAGGUUUUCCAAGAAAGCAUUUACUUCUGACAUUAAGUCGGGGCGUGGACCUUCUUUUGAGUUUUCUGUCUCAUCAGAAGAUGGAAUCAACCUUUAUGUUGACUUGAAUUCAUGCCCAACAGACACUUUUAAAAGAUUGGAAAAGAAGGUGUGUGUAUGUCACAAUCUGCAGAAUCACAAAUUUCAAAGUUUCUGUCAGGAGAUUCAAUACCUAGGAAAUAACAGACAAAUGACAAGUUCAUUUCUCUGGAAAACAGAUUCAGACAGUAGAUUUAACAGUGGCCACGCACAAACUGUUUCUUCUGCAAGUUUAUGUGGUACUGUUGAUGUUGUAUGUCAUACAGAAAAUACAGAUGAUGCGUCUUUGGGAUUUUCGGCAACAACAAAAUCAUGUUCUGUAGAAACUUUUACACAUUCAGAAGGCAAAAAGGGAAGUCCAUCGUCAUUUAGAACAAUUUGUGGUGUACAGAACAUGAAUAUCACUGACGUAAAUACUUUUAUGGGAGAGGAAGAGAUAACAUGUGUGGGUCUGAAUACCUUUCAAGCUUCAAAAAAUUCAGUGGCUAUUAAUAAAACUGUCAAUGUUAAGGCUUAUAUCCCAGAAAACACUACAGAGGUCUUAGAUGCUAGGCUAUGUAAAUCUUUUCAUGCAUCUUUGGAGAAAGUAGGUAUCAAUUCCCUUGAAGAUGUGCCAGAGCUAAAACAUAAUAAAAAUGAAAAUCAGAAUACGAAGCUCUGUGAUGUAAGUUGUCUCAAUUCUGAAAGGCAGAGAAGUUGUGUCCCAGAGAAGCUUUUAGUGCUAUCUCAUAUCUCUUCGGAAACUGAUUUUACUGGGAUAGAGGCUUCAGAAAUCGGCAGUCAUCAUCAACAUUCAUCAUAUUCUUCUUCUGGAAAAGAUUGCCUUAGAAAUUUGGUUGAUGCAGCAGAGAGCCUCAGAAGUCUACCCCAUUCUUGUGAGGAUAACUGUAGCAUUUUCCUGGACGACAUGCCUUCAUCUGCUGCUGGCGGGGCAAGGCCCAGCCAUGCCAACAGAACAGAAACUUCAAAAGAGCUUUUGAAGAAGCAGAAGGAGCAACUAUCCCAUGGAGGGAAGAAGAGAAAGAGGCAUGACAGUGAAUCUGAUAAUGUUCAUCAUUGUAGUGAUGGGAGAAUUUUGAGAAGUGCAACGCGUCUACAAAGUCUUCCGAGAAGAUCUAUUCGACUUGUCUCUAAGCGACUGGCGGCAUGGAAUUCCUAAGUGUUAAGAGAUCUGCCUAUGUAAGAUUAAACUCUCAGUACUGGCUUACAACAUACAUGUUCUUGUGGUUCCUCUAUUCUGUAUUCAACAACAACAUACUCGGUGUAAUCCCACAAGUGGGGUCUGGGGAGGUAGGAUGUACGCAUACCUUACCCCUAUUCUGUAUUCAAGGGAAUAAUUUAUUUGAGGUCAGGCGAAGUUUUUUAACGUGAUCUUAUUUUCAUUCAGCUAGAAUAACAUUUUUUACUAACUUUUCUCUGUUAUGCCUCAUUGUUUAAAACUUUGCACCA